GUCACACUGCCAAGAAAAGCUUCUAGUGAGAAAGUAACUGCCCGUACCGCAAACCGACACAGGUAGUUGAGGAGAGAAUCCUAAGGUGUGCGAGAGAACUCUCGUUAAGGAACUCGGCAAAAUGACCCCGUAACUUCGGGAGAAGGGGUGCUGACCGCAAGGUCAGCCGCAGUGAAUAGGCCCAAGCGACUGUUUAUCAAAAACACAGGUCUCUGCAAAAUCGAAAGAUGACGUAUAGGGGCUGACGCCUGCCCGGUGCUGGAAGGUUAAGAGGAGAGGUUAGCGCAAGCGAAGCUUUGAAUUGAAGCCCCAGUAAACGGCGGCCGUAACAAUAACGGUCCUAAGGUAGCGAAAUUCCUUGUCGGGUAAGUUCCGACCCGCACGAAAGGCGUAACGAUUUGGGCACUGUCUCAACGAGAGACUCGGUGAAAUUAUAGUACCAGUGAAGAUGCUGGUUACCCGCGACAGGACGGAAAGACCCCAUGGAGCUUUACUGCAGUUUGAUAUUGCGUGUUUGUAUCACAUGUACAGGAUAGGUAGGAGCCGAAGAUACCGGGACGCCAGUCUCGGAGGAGGCAACGGUGGGAUACUACCCUUGUGAUAUGACCACUCUAACCCGCUGCUCUUAGCGAGCAGGGAGACAGUGUCAGACGGGCAGUUUGACUGGGGCGGUCGCCUCCAAAAAUGUAACGGAGGCGCCCAAAGGUUCCCUCAGAAUGGUUGGAAAUCAUUCGUAGAGUGUAAAGGCAGAAGGGAGCUUGACUGCGAGACCUACAAGUCGAGCAGGGACGAAAGUCGGGCUUAGUGAUCCGGUGGUUCCGCAUGGAAGGGCCAUCGCUCAACGGAUAAAAGCUACCCUGGGGAUAACAGGCUUAUCUCCCCCAAGAGUUCACAUCGACGGGGAGGUUUGGCGCCUCGAUGUCGGCUCAUCGCAUCCUGGGGCUGUAGUCGGUCCCAAGGGUUGGGCUGUUCGCCCAUUAAAGCGGUACGCGAGCUGGGUUCAGAACGUCGUGAGACAGUUCGGUCCCUAUCCGUCGCGGGCGUUGGGAAUUUGAGAGGAGCUGUCCUUAGUACGAGAGGACCGGGAUGGACACACCGCUGGUGUACCAGUUGUUCUGCCAAGAGCAUCGCUGGGUAGCUAUGUGUGGACGGGAUAAACGCUGAAAGCAUCUAAGCGUGAAGCCCCCCUCAAGAUGAGAUUUCCCAUCACUUUAAGUGAGUAAGACCCCUGAGAGAUGAUCAGGUAGAUAGGUUGGGAGUGGAAGUACAGCGAUGUAUGGAGCGGACCAAUACUAAUCGGUCGAGGACUUAAUCAA
RNAcentral lists this ribosomal RNA (1316 nucleotides) under metagenome. Its description in RNAcentral is "bacterial LSU rRNA". It matches the Rfam family "Bacterial large subunit ribosomal RNA", at positions 1599 to 2925 of the family's 2925-position model. The record is from RNAcentral.